UGGGGAAUUUUGCGCAAUGGGGGAAACCCUGACGCAGCAACGCCGCGUGAGUGAUGAAGGCUCUUGGGUCGUAAAGCUCUGACAGAGGGAAAGAAGUGUAUGGUGGUUAAUACCCAUUGUACUUGACGGUACCCUCAAAG
Molecule: ribosomal RNA, 140 nt
Filed under: uncultured Geobacter sp.
Lineage: Bacteria; Pseudomonadati; Thermodesulfobacteriota; Desulfuromonadia; Geobacterales; Geobacteraceae
Description: partial 16S ribosomal RNA
Rfam family: Bacterial small subunit ribosomal RNA
Source: RNAcentral